GCCUCCUUGGCUCAGUUGGCUAGAGCGCAGGUCUCAUAUCACGUGAUCAUGAGUGGCUUCGGCCAUACAAUCCUGAGGUCGCAAGUUCGAGCCUUGCAGGGGGCA
Non-coding RNA from Arthromyces matolae, 105 nucleotides. The record is from the annotation of a GenBank genome assembly. Lineage: Eukaryota; Fungi; Basidiomycota; Agaricomycetes; Agaricales; Lyophyllaceae.